Molecule: unclassified non-coding RNA, 602 nt
Filed under: Hevea brasiliensis (rubber tree)
Lineage: Eukaryota; Viridiplantae; Streptophyta; Magnoliopsida; Malpighiales; Euphorbiaceae
Source: RNAcentral
UCUCAAAGUCGAACCAUUCUCGCAGUUUUGCUAUAACUCAUGUUCACUCGUAAACAACCAGGUUGUAAAGAUCAAACAUCAAAAUGCAAAACUUCAAAUAGCCCAUUCGUCACCAUCCAACAAGUAGAAGUUUCAAAAGCGUCAUUCGAAUAUAGAGACCAUUCUUUGCUUGUCUAAAAUAUGCAGCCCUUGGAUCCGCAUCGACAUCCACAGUUAUCUCAUCAAGCCUCGGGAGAGGAUGCAUGACCACAGCAUGUUUUUGCAUCACAUUUAACACUUCACGAUCCACAAUGUAUUUGCCUCGAGCUUCUUCAUAAAGGUCAAUUCUCUCUCCAAACCUUUCUCGCUGAAUGCGAGUUUGAUAUACAACAUCACACUUUGAAGCCACUUCCAUUAAAUCAGCACUUUCUUCCCAUUUAACACCCUUUGAUGUCAAAUAGUCUUUUAUAUCAUCCUUCAUUUUUACCACAUCAGGGGAGACAAAAUAGAUAGUCACAUCUUGGUAUUUGGCAAGCAAGUAUGCAAGAGAGCGAACUGUCCUCCCAUUGGCAAGAUCCCCCACAAGUGCAACUCUAAUGCUAUCCAAUUUACCUAUCUCUCGA